CAGGCCUAACACAUGCAAGUCGAGCGGACCAUUCCUUCGGGGAUGGUUAGCGGCGGGCGGGUGAGUAACACGUAGGCAACCUGCCUGUAAGAUCGGGAUAACUACCGGAAACGGUAGCUAAGACCGGAUAGCUGGUUUCUCCGCAUGGGGGAAUCAUGAAACACGGGGCAACCUGUGGCUUACGGAUGGGCCUGCGGCGCAUUAGCUAGUUGGUGGGGUAAUGGCCCACCAAGGCGACGAUGCGUAGCCGACCUGAGAGGGUGAUUGGCCACACUGGGACUGAGACACGGCCCAGACUCCUACGGGAGGCAGCAGUAGGGAAUCUUCCGCAAUGGGCGCAAGCCUGACGGAGCAACGCCGCGUGAGUGAUGAAGGUUUUCGGAUCGUAAAGCUCUGUUGCCAAGGAAGAACGCCUCGGAGAGUAACUGCUCUGAGGGUGACGGUACUUGAGAAGAAAGCCCCGGCUAACUACGUGCCAGCAGCCGCGGUAAUACGUAGGGGGCAAGCGUUGUCCGGAAUUAUUGGGCGUAAAGCGCGCGCAGGCGGUCUUUUAAGUUUGGUGUUUAAGCCCGGGGCUCAACCCCGGUUCGCACUGAAAACUGGGAGACUUGAGUGCAGGAGAGGAAAGCGGAAUUCCACGUGUAGCGGUGAAAUGCGUAGAGAUGUGGAGGAACACCAGUGGCGAAGGCGGCUUCCUGGACUGUAGCUGACGCUGAGGCGCGAAAGCGUGGGGAGCAAACAGGAUUAGAU
Molecule: ribosomal RNA, 750 nt
Filed under: uncultured bacterium
Lineage: Bacteria
Description: bacterial SSU rRNA
Rfam family: Bacterial small subunit ribosomal RNA
Source: RNAcentral